Molecule: long non-coding RNA, 316 nt
Organism: Helianthus annuus (common sunflower)
Lineage: Eukaryota; Viridiplantae; Streptophyta; Magnoliopsida; Asterales; Asteraceae
Exons: 3
Source: RefSeq, a predicted model, not a curated record
AUGACCCCUAAACGACCCCUAACACUAAGGACAAGUGUUGAUCAGUUGUGGUGUGUGCUAGACUUUGUUGUCAAUCAAUUGUGGUGCUUGAAACCACUAUAUAAAGCCUAAGUUGCAACCAUAAGUUCACACCCCAUCAUCUGCAUCAUUUGGUCAUUUCUGGAGCUCCAACUUCCUCUCAAGUGGUCACACUAGGUGCAUAGGACCUCAAAUAAGGAGCCCCCGUAAAAGAUAUCGGUGAUUUAAUUGAUUAAGGAAUAUACAUUGCAAAGAUUAAGUGCAGGUACCUAAACGUAAAUUGGCUGGUAUUAGCUCC